GGUGUGGGUAGGAUUAGGAUGGGGUUGGAUGGGGUUGGAUGGGGUAGGAUAGGGUAGGAUGGGAUGGGGUGGGGUAGGAUGGGGUUGGUAGGUAUGAUGGGGUUGGAUGGGGUAGGAUGGGAUGGGGUUGGAUGGGGUUGGUAGGUAGGAUGGGGUUGGAUGGGGUAGGAUGGGGUUGGAUGGGGUUGGAUAGGAUUGGAUGGGGUUGACUGUCAUGCUCAGUGAGUUGGAGGGUUUUUUGAGGGUGACAGGACUUUCUCUCCGUCUUCUUUGGUUUGGUGUGGGUGUAGCUGGUCUCCUGAGUGGUGGGGGAUAUUGGGGGUUCAACCUGGUUGAGGAUGGGGGUGUAGCUGGUCUCCUGAGUGGUGGGGGAUAUCGGGGGUUCAACCUGGUUGAGGAUGGGGGUGUAGCUGGGCUCCUGAGUGGUGGGGGAUAUUGGGAGUUCAACCUGGUUGAGGAGGGUUGGAGGGUUGUAGUGUGGGGGUAUGGGUGUUGAUUGCCACUGUGAAAUAGAACAUAUUAAGGAAAUGGGACAGACAAGUGGGCAACAGUUUCCAAUUGGCAGAGGUGAGCAUGUACCGUAAAUUCCGGACUAUAAGCCGCAACUUUUUUUCCCAGGCUUUGAACCUCGCGGCUUAAACAAUGAAGUGGCUAAUAUAUGGAUUUUUCCCACUUUCAAUUUUUUUCUCUCCAAAAAAACACAUUCUGUGACGUGCUCAGUUUUUUGGCGGCAUGAAGCUUUCAUUAGACCAAUGAAAUUGCCGAACGGGUUAAGGUCAAACAACUUUUUUGUUUACUGUUUAGAUUAAAUCGAGCGCUCUCAAACUUCCCAUCAUUCUGAUUACGGUAGUCAUUUCGUCACCCUCAUCAUGGCAAAGACACGGAGAAAUGCAUAUGAUGCAGCUUUCAAGUUGAAGGCGAUUGAUCUGGCUGUUGGAAAAGGAAAUAGAGCUGCUGCACGGGAGCUUGGUAUUAAUGAGUCGAUGAUAAGACGUUGGAAACAGCAGCGUGAGGAAUUGACUCAGGGCAAAAAGACAACUAAAGCUUACUGCUAUUUUUUUUAUUUUUUUACAAGCCGUGUUUUGUUAAAGCCUAUUUAUUUUUGUUACAGGCCGUGUUUCGUUAAAGCCUAUUUAUUUUUGUUACAAGCCGUUUUUCGUUAAAGCCUGUGUAAAGUUCAUUUGUUUCAAUGUACCGGUAGGCACCUGCGGCUUAUAGACAUGUGCGGCUUAUUUAUGUUCAAAAUAAAAAAAACAUUUUAAUUCAGUGGGUGCGGCUUAUAUUCAGGUGCGCUUAAUAGUCCAGAAAUUCCGGUAUAUUUAAGCAAUAAGGCCCGAGGUGUGGUAUAUGGCAAUAUACCACGGCUAAGGGCUGUUCUUAUGCAUGACGCAAUGCGGAGUGCCUGGAUACAGCCCUUAACUGUGAUAUAUUGGCCAUAUACCACAAACCCCUGAGGUGCCUUAUUGCUAUUAUAAACUGGCUACCAAUGUAAUUAGAGCAGUAAAAAUAAAUGUUUUGUCAUACGGUCUGAUAUACCAAGGCAUUCAGACAAUCAGCAUUCAGGGCUGGAACCACCCAUUUUAUAAAUAAACUUCUACACAGGAUAUGUGAAAAGAAUGUGUUGAAAUGUUGCUUGCCUGAACUAACUCCUCUACUUUAAUAAUAACAAUAAUUAUACAUGAAACAUACAUAGCUUUACAAUUGUAGAAACUAACAAACAAUCAAUAAUCUAACUAAACAACAGCAGACUAAAGAAAAGGAAGAAAAACAUUAAACAAAAUUUUUUGGUGCAAACAUGCGUCCUUUGUCCUGAUCUUGUCCACAUUCUGAUGGUCUUAUCAGUCCACUGUGUCCGCAUUGUGAACAGAUAUACUGGUCCCGCCUUGUAUGCUAAUUCUUUGACAGAUAUUCUUUCAAAAUAAUACUUUUUUAUUUAUUUUAAGACAUAUAUAUUCCAUAAGUCAAUGGUGCCACCUGUCAAUGAUUUUAGAAGGCAGGAUGAUUUAAAUGGUUUUACUGUCAACUCCAGACGUGGUCAGAAAGAUCUGAUCAAAAUGCUUCUUUUAAUCGUCUACACCUGUCUGAAAAUGUGGGAAUAAUCAGACUGUGGACAAGAUCAGGACAUAUAAUGCAUGUUAGAACCAGGUAUAAACAGAGGUAAGAAGGGCCCAAGGAAAUGGUGUGAUGUGUGAGUGAGAUAGCAGGUGUUGCGCAUAUGUGUGAAACAGUGGUAGGCCAUGGUGAAGAGGUGGGUUUUUAGGCAGGACUGAAAGAUGAUGGACUUAGAGUCACAGAUGGCUGGAGGAAGGGAGUUCCAGAGCCUAGGAGCAACCCUGGACAAGGCCCUGUCACUGAAACUCUGGAGCUUGGACCUGGGUAUUUUUUAUUUAUUUUACCUUUAUUUAACUAGGCAAGUCAGUUAAGAACAAAUUCUUAUCUUCAAUGAUGGCCUAGGAACAGUGGCAGAACAACAGAUUUGUACCUUGUUCAGCUCAGGGAUUUGAUCUUGCAACCUUUCGGUUACUAGUCCAACGCUCUAACCACUAGGCUACGCUGCCGCCCCAAUGACAAGUUGGCCAACUGUGGUUGAGCGGAAAGAGCAUGAGGUCUGGUAGGAGAGAAGGUCAGAGAGGUAAGGGGUAGCAAGGUGGGGGAGAGCUUUUUUCGGCCAGGAGGAUCUUGUAAUUCAUGCGGUGGGAGACAGGGAGCCAGUGGAGUUCACAGAGGAUGGGGGUGAUAUGCUGCCAGGAUGAUUUAGUGUGGGUUAGAAGAUGGGCUGCUGAGUUUUGAACCAUUUGGAGCUUAUCGAGGGAGUCUGUUAGUGCUGGGGAGUAGUGAGUUCGGGAGAAGAAGAAAACAUGGAUGAGAGGUUCGGCCCGCAGUACAGGAGAGGGAGGGGCUGACUUUGGCGAAUUUGUCUAAGUGGAAUAAUUCGUUUUUUACAGUCUGACGGAUGUGGUGGUUGAGGGAUAGAGACUUAUUAAGGUAGACAAACAUACAUAUUUCUGUCCAAAUACCUUUCACAAUUGCCUCAUACAACCUUUGGAUUGUUGCCAUUGAGGUCUGACUCGUCAUACCACUGUGAGGACACAGUGCAGUCGACGACAAAGUGUAGCAGGGGGUACACUCCUACCUUGUGGAACCUAUGUACCUGGAAUCAUUAAUGACAAAAUAACUUCCAGAAACACAACAAAUAUCAGUCAAAUAAUGACAUUUAGAUUUACACUCUUAAAUGACACAAUGAGACAACAACAAAUAAGUGCAUAGAGGGUAUCUGUAAGGGCUGUCUUCAGGAAAGGACCAAAAUGCAGCAGAGUUAGUAUUCAUCCUUCAAUUUAAUUGGAAAGAACACUAUACAAAAACAAGGAAACUGACAGCCAACAGUCCUGUCAGGUGCAACCACACUAAACAAGAAACAAUUACCCACAAAACCCAAAGGAAAAACAUGCUCCUUAUGUGUGACUCCCAAUCAGCAGCAAUGAGCACCACCUGUGCCUGAUUGGGAGCCACACACAUGGCCCAAAACAAAGAAAUACCAAAACAUAGAAAAAGGAACAUAGAACGCCCACCCAAUGUAACACCCUGGCCUAACCAAAAUAAAGAACAAAAAACCCCUCU
Molecule: long non-coding RNA, 3618 nt
Filed under: Salmo salar (Atlantic salmon)
Lineage: Eukaryota; Metazoa; Chordata; Actinopteri; Salmoniformes; Salmonidae
Description: lncRNA (ENSSSAG00000109864.1)
Source: RNAcentral